This 428-nucleotide ribosomal RNA is filed under the name uncultured bacterium. RNAcentral's name for it is "bacterial SSU rRNA". It matches the Rfam family "Bacterial small subunit ribosomal RNA", at positions 355 to 775 of the family's 1533-position model. The record is from RNAcentral.
UGGGGAAUCUUGCGCAAUGCGCGAAAGCGUGACGCAGCAACGCCGCGUGGGGGAAGAAGGCCUUCGGGUUGUAAACCCCUUUCAGGAGGGACGAAGCCUAGGUCGUUAAUAGCGGUCCUAGGUGACGGUACCUCCAGAAGAAGCCCCGGCUAACUACGUGCCAGCAGCCGCGGUAAUACGUAGGGGGCAAGCGUUGUCCGGAAUUAUUGGGCGUAAAGAGCGUGUAGGCGGUCCGAUAAGUCGGCUGUGAAAGUCCAGGGCUCAACUCUGGAAUGCCGGCCGAUACUGUCGGACUAGAGUCCGGAAGAGGCAAGUGGAAUUCCCGGUGUAGCGGUGAAAUGCGCAGAUAUCGGGAGGAACACCAACGGCGAAGGCAGCUUGCUGGGACGGCACUGACGCUGAGACGCGAAAGCGUGGGGAGCAAACAG